This 817-nucleotide ribosomal RNA is filed under the name uncultured bacterium. RNAcentral's name for it is "bacterial SSU rRNA". It matches the Rfam family "Bacterial small subunit ribosomal RNA", at positions 8 to 809 of the family's 1533-position model. The record is from RNAcentral.
AGAGUUUGAUCCUGGCUCAGGAUGAACUUUGGCGGCGUGCUUAACACAUGCAAGUCGAACGAAGCACCUCUCCCGAAGAUUGACACAGCUUGCUGUAGAUUGAUUCAUUUGAGGUGACUGAGUGGCGGACGGGUGAGUAACGCGUGGGUAACCUGCCUCAUAGAGGGGGACAACAGUUGGAAACGGCUGCUAAUACCGCAUAAGCGCACGGCAUCACAUGAUGCAGUGUGAAAAACUCCGGUGGUAUAAGAUGGACCCGCGUUGGAUUAGCUAGUUGGUGAGGUAACGGCCCACCAAGGCGACGAUCCAUAGCCGACCUGAGAGGGUGACCGGCCACAUUGGGACUGAGACACGGCCCAAACUCCUACGGGAGGCAGCAGUGGGGAAUAUUGCACAAUGGGCGAAAGCCUGAUGCAGCGACGCCGCGUGAGCGAAGAAGUAUUUCGGUAUGUAAAGCUCUAUCAGCAGGGAAGAUAAUGACGGUACCUGACUAAGAAGCACCGGCUAAAUACGUGCCAGCAGCCGCGGUAAUACGUAUGGUGCAAGCGUUAUCCGGAUUUACUGGGUGUAAAGGGAGCGCAGGCGGUGCGGCAAGUCUGAUGUGAAAGCCCGGGGCUCAACCCCGGUACUGCAUUGGAAACUGUCGUACUAGAGUGUCGGAGGGGUAAGCGGAAUUCCUAGUGUAGCGGUGAAAUGCGUAGAUAUUAGGAGGAACACCAGUGGCGAAGGCGGCUUACUGGACGAUAACUGACGCUGAGGCUCGAAAGCGUGGGGAGCAAACAGGAUUAGAUACCCUGGUAGUCCACGCCGUAAACGA